This 73-nucleotide transfer RNA is filed under the name Camelus bactrianus (Bactrian camel). It matches the Rfam family "tRNA". From Rfam's summary of the family: Transfer RNA (tRNA) molecules are approximately 80 nucleotides in length. The record is from Rfam by way of RNAcentral. RNAcentral also lists the same sequence under 2 other names. Lineage: Eukaryota; Metazoa; Chordata; Mammalia; Artiodactyla; Camelidae.
GGGUAUGUAGCUCAAGUGGUAGGGUACAUGCUUAGCACGCAUUAAGUCCUGGGUUCAAUCCCCAGUACAUCCU